This 448-nucleotide ribosomal RNA is filed under the name uncultured bacterium. RNAcentral's name for it is "bacterial SSU rRNA". It matches the Rfam family "Bacterial small subunit ribosomal RNA", at positions 43 to 507 of the family's 1533-position model. The record is from RNAcentral.
CGCGCUUAAUACAUGCAAGUCGAACGAGAAGCCAGAGCUUGCUCUGGUGGAAAGUGGCGAACGGGUGAGUAACACGUGAGAAACCUGCCCCAAAGAUUGGGAUAAGCCUUGGAAACGAGGUCUAAUACCAAAUACCUUCCUUUUAACACAUGUUAAAAAGAAGAAAUGCUCCGGCGCUUUGGGAUGGUCUCGCGAUCUAUCAGCUUGUUGGUGAGGUAACGGCUCACCAAGGCAUCGACGGAUAGCUGGUCUGAGAGGAUGUCCAGCCACAUUGGAACUGAGACACGGUCCAAACUCCUACGGGAGGCAGCAGUAGGGAAUCUUGCACAAUGAGGGAAACCUUGAUGCAGCGACGCCGCGUGCGGGACGAAGGCCCUAGGGUUGUAAACCGCUUUCAGUAGGGACGAAAGUGACGGUACCUACAGAAGAAGCCCCGGCCAACUAUGUG